RNAcentral lists this ribosomal RNA (443 nucleotides) under Staphylococcus aureus. Its description in RNAcentral is "bacterial SSU rRNA". It matches the Rfam family "Bacterial small subunit ribosomal RNA", at positions 206 to 641 of the family's 1533-position model. Lineage: Bacteria; Bacillati; Bacillota; Bacilli; Caryophanales; Staphylococcaceae. The record is from RNAcentral.
GUCUUGCUGUCACUUAUAGAUGGAUCCGCGCUGCAUUAGCUAGUUGGUAAGGUAACGGCUUACCAAGGCAACGAUGCAUAGCCGACCUGAGAGGGUGAUCGGCCACACUGGAACUGAGACACGGUCCAGACUCCUACGGGAGGCAGCAGUAGGGAAUCUUCCGCAAUGGGCGAAAGCCUGACGGAGCAACGCCGCGUGAGUGAUGAAGGUCUUCGGAUCGUAAAACUCUGUUAUUAGGGAAGAACAUAUGUGUAAGUAACUGUGCACAUCUUGACGGUACCUAAUCAGAAAGCCACGGCUAACUACGUGCCAGCAGCCGCGGUAAUACGUAGGUGGCAAGCGUUAUCCGGAAUUAUUGGGCGUAAAGCGCGCGUAGGCGGUUUUUUAAGUCUGAUGUGAAAGCCCACGGCUCAACCGUGGAGGGUCAUUGGAAACUGGAAAAC